CCUACGGGGAGCUGCAGUGAGGAAUAUUGGUCAAUGGACGGAAGUCUGAACCAGCCAUGCCGCGUGCAGGAAGAAGGCUCUAUGAGUUGUAAACUGCUUUUGUACAGGGGUAAACCUGAAUACGUGUAUUCAGCUGACAGUACUGUACGAAUACAGAUCGGCAAACUCCGUGCCAGCAGCCGAGGUAAUACGGAGGAGACAAGCGUUAUCCGGACUUAUUGGGUUUAAAGGGAGCGUAGGCGGAUUUAUAAGUUAGAGGUGAAAUGUCAGAGCUUAACUCUGGAACUGCAUCUGAUACUGUUGAUCUAGAGAGUAGAUGCGGUAGGUGGAAUGUAUGGUGUAGCGGUGAAAUGCUUAGAGAUCA
This 364-nucleotide ribosomal RNA is filed under the name uncultured bacterium. RNAcentral's name for it is "partial 16S ribosomal RNA". It matches the Rfam family "Bacterial small subunit ribosomal RNA", at positions 338 to 699 of the family's 1533-position model. The record is from RNAcentral.